This 254-nucleotide ribosomal RNA is filed under the name uncultured bacterium. RNAcentral describes it as "partial 16S ribosomal RNA". It matches the Rfam family "Bacterial small subunit ribosomal RNA", at positions 524 to 776 of the family's 1533-position model. The record is from RNAcentral.
UACGAAGGGGGGCUAGCGUUGCUCGGAAUCACUGGGCGUAAAGGGUGCGUAGGCGGGUCUUUAAGUCAGGGGUGAAAUCCUGGAGCUCAACUCCAGAACUGCCUUCGAUACUGAGAAGCUCGAGUCCGGGAGAGGUGAGUGGAACUGCGAGUGUAGAGGUGAAAUUCGUAGAUAUUCGCAAGAACACCAGUGGCGAAGGCGGCUCACUGGCCCGGUACUGACGCUGAGGUGCGAAAGCGUGGGGAGCAAACAGG